Molecule: long non-coding RNA, 12494 nt
Filed under: Sorghum bicolor (sorghum)
Lineage: Eukaryota; Viridiplantae; Streptophyta; Magnoliopsida; Poales; Poaceae
Description: long non-coding RNA (SBIC_LNC018059)
Source: RNAcentral
UAUCUAGAUCUACUCUAGUUUAGAGAAGAGAGGAGAGCUCUCAUCUCUAAACCCUAGCUUUUGCUCUGUCUAUGAAUAAUGAAUAAUGAUCAAGGGGUGCCUCCUCCAGGGGCCAGGGGGUCUGGUUAUAUAGUCCCCUAAAGUGAACCUGGGCCGUCGGAUCAAACCGACAUUGAUUGAACGGUUAUUCUUGAUCCUUUAGGUCGGUGGAGAUCUCUCGAGAGAAAGAGUCCUGAUUGGGCUCCAAGUCAGGGCGGGCGCCCAGGGCAGGAGGGCGGGCGCCCUGCCUCUGGCCCCGUUCGGCCUCCACUUCCUUCCCGUGGCUUCUGGAGUCUUCUAGAUGUAAGAUAAUUGCGUGGCACGUUAAUAUCUCUAUGUAAUCCUGAUUUUAUGGACCUUUCUUCCGUACUUCCUAAUAACCCCCUUCAGAAAUAGACAAACACCAAAACUCAUGGAAUUCUGUCAGAUAAAACCCUAAGUCUAGAUGUUGAUUUCAUUUGGAUCCUUUUCUUUGUUUAUUUGAUAAUUAAAUUUGAUACUUAAGGACCGUCAACAAACUCCCCCAAGCUUACCUCUUGCUCGUCCCUGAGUAAGGAUAGACUCAGCAAUGGAUCAGAAGUUGUUGCAAUAUCUUAAAAAUUUGACGGUACACAUGCUUUUAAAUAAGGUCUCAUCUCUGAGUUAGAGUAAACUGUCAAAACUAAAACUUACUUACUUUACCUUUCACCAUGGGACUUGUAACCGUCACUUCUGUCUUGAGUAGUUAAAAGAUAGAACAGUCUAGCCAAGUGCCAUGUCUCUUAUUCUUGAUCAGCUAUAGCUCUGGAGUUUUUGCAGAUUUUCAAAUAAAACACAGAGAUUCCUUGUAUGACUCUCUAAAUCUCUCUUUUGUGGUAUUUCUGGAUCCUUACCAAGGCAGUGAUGGUAUAUGCCUUCUCUCAAGAUAUGUGGUAUUUGUGGUAUAAGGCAUUGUGACAUUGCCUUCUCUCUCAGCCUACUCUAAUAAGGCUUUAAUAUCUGGAGCUCAUAGGUGGGAGAUAAAGUAUACAUACUUACAAGACAUUUAUUGUAUAGUCAAACCAUGGAUCCAAAGAAACAAAUGAAUAAGCCAAAUCAAGAUGUGCAUGUGUGGCGAAUGAAUGGUGUAUGGUGAUGAUGGUGAUAACAAUGGUGAAAGUCUAAUUCUACUUUUGCUCAUUUGAGGGGAUACAUACCUUCCUUGCUUUUUGAAACUUUAUGAGGAGAAUGAGAUGCUCUUCUUUUUCUUUCCUCUCAGGUGGGUAUCUUGUACCCCUAAUUCUACUGUCGGACACUUGUCCAUUUUUACCUCUUGUCUCACUUUUUCUUCCUUUCGAGGUUCCGGGCACUUGCCCCUUUUUAUUUCCUCGUUUAUUUAUUAUUUUUUUUCUUCUAUUUUUUUUCAGAGUACUCAUCUCUUGAGAUAAUAUAGCAAGUGGUAGUAGCAAGAUAACUUGAGCAUUUAUUUCACAAGGGAAAACAGAAAUAUUUUUGGCUAUUCUCUCCCGGAUUAGGAGUAGAAUAUUUUUUGGUGGUUCUGGAGAUGGACAUGGAUGGAUAUAUGUGAAUGGUACUUCCGGAGUAGAAGUAGCAUAUAUGAGUGAACGUGCAAGUGAAUCUUGAUUUAACCACAUGACAAGCUCCUAAGGGUCUACACAGCUUGACCACACUCAAUGCUCAUAAGCAGUAAAUAGUAAAUGUGUGGCUCAAAGUCUAGCAAGCAUGUAUAUAUGGCUGUGGUAGGAAUUUAAACUCUCAUCAUACAGGAACUCAUUAUGCAAUAUUUUAAAGAUUUUUUCAAAGAUAAAAUUCUUCAGAAUUCUAGCAUCUCUAGGAACAGAUAAACAGCAGCUCAACCUUCCCAUAUCAUAUCCGUUAACAACUUAGAUUUCAGAUCAAGUUUUCAUCCCACAAGUUUAGAUCUAGAGCAAGUUUUAAAUUAUAACAGUUAUGUCUAAACUUGAGAGAGAACUUCAAAUGUUAAAAAGACAGAGCAACUAUUCAUCAUAUCCAUGCUUGAGUUUUAUUUCGAUACAGAUUAGCAUAGCCACUUUAUUUAUUUAUUAAACACACUAAGCAAAAGAUAUAUAUAUAUAUAUAUAUAUAUAUAUAUAUAUAUAUAUAUAUAUAUAUAUAUAUAUAUAUAUAUAUAUAUAUAAGCACAAAAUCUUUAUUUGGUUUUUCAUAGUUUAUGUAUUUUAAUAUUCUAACAUAAUAUAAGUAUAAAGAUAGGUAGAAAUACUUAGCGAGAUAAAUGGGGGUGCUCUCCCCCAAGCUGAAUUUUGACGUAAUUUCUCUUGAUGUAGCUAGCAGGUGGCAGAGGUGUAUUUGAAAGUCAGCAGCAUUUUGACAGCAAUUAGAAUGUCCUCCAUUUGCUAGUCUUCUUGAUUCUUAAAUCCUGUGGAGCUCAAAUAGACAACAAAGCUUGUGGAACUGAUUAAGUGUUAGCAUAAAUAUCUAGCCUUCAUCAUGUUGAGCUUCCUCAAUAAAUAUUACUCUCUAUUUUGUUUAUAUUUUCGUUUUAUAAAGCAGAAAAGAAAUAUUUAUUUUGUUUUUAUGCCACCAUAGUGAAUGUACUUAUGAGUUUCAUGCCACGAGCAUACUCACAUGAGGCUUAGUAUUUUUAACAUUUUUAUUUUCUUUUCAAGAUAGCAUGACUAACUAACAAGCCAUUUAAGGAAAGUAAAUAAUUAAAAGGAAAAGGGAAUGCAGAAAGGAUAAAUAUGGAUAACUACCGAUCUUACCUUUCGGCGAGGGUUCAAUGAUUUAAGUCUUCUGAACAAGAUUUCUCACCGUGUUCAUUCUUCAGGUGCGUCAUUUGAUUCAGGUGCGGACCUUGACGUUUGCACCUCUUCGUUUGCCCAGCAGUUCGAAGUGUGGCGUUAGCAGUAUCCUGCUCAGUGUGUUUGUGCUCGUAGAUCCAGGUCCUUCACUUGGUAGAGUCUGAGAGUUAUAAAACUCCUCCGUGUUUUGCUCGAAGUGUACCUGCUCAUAGAGACAAGGCAGAGAUCAAGUGCAUGGGUCCUGUUGGUGGAAAACACCAACAGAACCUAAAGUGUAUUUGUUCUUCUCCAACCCUAAGCAUAGUGAGCAAGACAAAGUUGAUGGAUGAAAAGUCCAUGAGUGUAGCACUUAUAACAUUUGUCAGAUCAGAUCGCUCAACCUUAUGGAAAAAUAAUCUAUCUAUGUAUAUGUCUUUUUCUUUAUAUCUCUCAAUGAUUGAAUGUGUAACAUUUUAGCUCAUAUGAUUAGGAGUGUGGGAUCAUGGAGGUAGUACUAAGAACAAGGAUUAAAGGACUAAACAUGUUGAAUCAGUUGGGUUGGUUAAUCUAGAGUUGUAAAUCAUACAUGUUUGUCUCUUUUAUUUAUAUGAACGCCAGAACUAAGGAGAAGCUUAUAAAAGUGAUAGUCAAGUACCUUAAGAUGUUACCUUGCUUGAAGACUAAUGGUGUAGUAUCACCUUGUGGAAGCUUUCCUUUCUUAGUGGUUGUGCAUCGUGUUUGUGGCACCCUCCAUGGAUCAUCUCUCUAUGAUGAAUGAGCUAUGUCCUUCUUGUGCAAAUUGUUAAACUUCAUGUGUCACUCUCUUCGUCCCUGAUGUGAGUUUAUCUCAGGACAUCCCAAAUCAAUAUUGAAAGUUUUUCUGCAGGGGUUAGUCCGACAAAAAUAUACCAAUGUCUACACAAGUAGGUUUUAGUUCAAUUACCGAACUAGACUCCAUGUCUAAUCAGAUUAAGGAAGGUUGUUUAACCUAAGAACCAUGCUUAAUUUAAAAGCCAAUAGAAGUAUGUGCAGUACUUCCAAACUAACAUUUACUAGUAAAUAGACAAAGGUAACAUGACAGCAUUUAUAGAGAUCUACUCAAGUGGAGAUGAAGUAGUGUGAUUAGUAUUUAACAAAUUGAGCAUGUCUUAAAGGUAGGGACAACCAACAUAGUAACAUGGCAAAGGAUGUUUUUAUGUAAAGUACUCCCCCAAGCUUGAAUUUUGCAGAAUUCAAGUUUGGAUGAAUUUAAUUUAGUGUUGCAUGAUGAUCGGUUGGACAUACCUUGUGCUUGUCAUUCAUCCGAUCUUCUUGCUCCAAUCCUGGAAAGGUUAGUGACAAGAAUACCCGAAGGAAUAUUUUCACAAUUAUCUUUAUAUGCUCAAUACACAAGGUAAUGUUGCAAAUAAUUAAAAACUCAUGUUACGAUCUGAUCAGUGCUUAUUUUAGGACACUAAGCUUGUCCUUGGGAAACCAUCAAUUUAUGUCAGCGAAGUGGUUUCCCUUCCAACGCUGACCUAAAUCAAGAUCAACUCAACGAGAUCUGCAAUAUUUAUUAUAGACAUAUGCAUCGACAACCGCCCUUUUAAAGUUUUUAUAAAUAGAAAGGAAGAGGGGGUUGGAGAUCUCAAAUGUGGUGAUGUUGGAGAGACCAAUAGAUUGGGAAGAUGUUGCAUAUGAGCAUGGAGUAAACAAAGUGGCUAUGAAAUAAGUUCCAUGCUCAUUAAUGUUAUCUUCGUCUCCAAUCUGAAUGUUCAGAGUUUCUCUUGGAUUGGUCUCACUUAUGUCCUCUUCUAUAGUUGGAUGAAUCCCAUCUUCAAAGGGAGUCAAUAACUCACCAUUUGAAAUUGAACCAAAGUCAGAAUUCAUUAAGGCUUCUUCCUUAUCCAUCCAUUCUACACAUUCUAGCCAUUUAGAAUUUGUGAUCAGGAAAGGGAGGUGUUAGAAUUUUCAAUAUGGCUUAGCUCUCCUUUACUUAAUGUGUCAUCUUCGACUUCUUCAUAACAGGAACCAGGACAUUCUCUAAGAGAACCAUUAUUGCGAGGAUUUGAAUUAUCCCUGCUUGAAGGUCUCUUAUGGAACCAGAAGUUUAAACCAUCAACAUCUGAAAGAUUUAAGGUCAGAAUUCCUUCCUCCCUUGGAGAAUUUUGGGGUAUUGAUGGUUUAGGAUCGAUAGCUAAAGUUUGGGAUUGAAGUGGUUGUGAUCUGGCUAUCGAAACUUCUUUUUCUUGUCUAGGAACUGGUUCUGUCUCUUUCUCAGGGAUAUAAAAGCUAGGAGACUUUCCACUCAUUAAAUCAAUCAAAUUCCAAGCUUCACUAGCGGAUAGGUGGUGUAAAGAUCCUCCAGAGGCAGCAUGAAGGGUUUGCUUAUUUUUCCUACUAAGGCCCUCAAAAAAGUGAAUUAGAAGAACUUCUUCUGGAAUAGAAAGCUUUGGGCCAGUGAGAGUAAGGUUAAUAAAGCGGUCCCAUGAUUUGCCAAGAGAUUCUUCCUCCAAUUGUCUAAAAGAAAGAAUCUCAUGCCGAAGUUCCGCCACUUUAGAGAUUGGAAAAUAUUUUAAAAGAAAACUAUUAUGUAACUCCUUCCAAUCUCCAUGAACACUCCUUACUUUGAGUUUGUACCAAUGUCUAGCUUUUCCUGUUAAAGAGAAAGGAAAGAGCUUCCAUUUAAUGGUCUCAUCGGACAUGCCUUCUAUGCGAAGGAGGUCACAGACUCGAUAAAACUCUCUUAGGUGUGUGUAUGGGUUUUCCUCACCUUCUCCUGAGAAAGGUUGUUUUUGAACAAAUUCUAUGUAUUCGGGGUCUAUCUCAAAACUAGAUGCUAUGAUAGGCUUUGAAGAUUUUGGAGGUUCGAGAUGUGUGCCCGUAGGUCUAUGAAAUUCAUAGAUAGACAUGUUUGAAUUCAUGAUAGAUCAGAGAUCAAGGAUUAGAAAAGAAGAAAGAAUAGCAGAGAUAAGGCAAAGGAUAAAAGGUAAUAUAUAUAUAUAUAUUAUUUUUUUAUUUUUUAGAAAAUGAUUAAGCUAGUUCGUAGUCAACUCAGCAACCGUUUCCCCGACAAUGGCGCCAAAAAUGCUUGUUGACACUUGCUAACACCACUUGAAUACUAGGUUGUCAUCCCCAGCAUGGCACUAGAGUGUACUAUGGUAUUUAUACGCACACAGAUAAUCCGCAAGCGCACGGAUACCGUUGAAGCUUUUACCCGGUUAAAGGUUUUAUCAUAUUCACAGGGAAACGGGAGAACUGAUCUACACUCUAACUUAACCAAGAUAAGUAAAUAGGUGUAAAUAGGAAAGAUGGUAGAAUCAAAUAAGAACAAUAUUAAAGGUAAGAUAACAGUGAGUGACAAUAUGGGAAUAGAGAGUAGAGCAAUUUAGUAUAUGGGCGAUGGUAGCAGAAUAGAGAGGAUAACUAUGGUUUCUCUACUUCAAAGGGGUAUGUCUAUGUCUGGGACGAACCACGUGAUAAGAUUACGCCACAAAGGAUGCUUAUCCUUAGGCCGAUAAACCCUACCCGUCCUGCUAACGAGAGGUGGACUACAUAGGACCAACGUAACUGUCACCUACGCGGCCUACCACACGAUCCAGCUAGACAGGGGAUAUCCACAAGUAAUCUAGAUCUAAGCACCACGCUUACACCUAUACUACAACUCUAACCUAUAGCGUCCUAUAGAUUAGAAGUACUCAAAAGAGUUGUGAACCAGAACAUACAUAAUUAGUAAUUGCAUAAUGAAUUAGAAGUAGAUUACCAGAGUCAUCCCAUGAGCAAGCUUGAUUAGAGCUUGAUCAUGACGAAGUACAACCGGAGGAAGAACCGACAGGCCGGCCUCUCCUCCAAUCCUCCCUCGCUCUCCAUCUUGCUACUAUCUAGAUCUACUAUAGUUUAGAGAAGAGAUGAGAGCUCUCAUCUCUAAACCCUAGCUUUUGCCCUGUCUAUGAAUAAUGAAUAAUGAUCAAGGGGUGCCUCCUCUAGGGGCCAGGGGGUCUGGUUAUAUAGUCCCCUCAAGUGAACCUGGGCCGUCGGAUCAAACCGACAUUGAUUAAACGAUUAUUCUUGAUCCUUUAGGUCGGUGGAGAUCUCCCGAGAGAAAGAGUCCUGAUUAGGCUCCAAGUCAGGGCGGGCGCCCAGGGCAGGAGGGCGGGCGCCCUGCCUCUAGCCCCGUUCGGCCUCCGCUUCCUUCCCGUGACUUCUAGAGUCUUCUAGAUGUAAGAUAAUUGCGCGACACGUUAAUAUCUCUAUGUAAUCCCGACGUGUGGACCUUUCUUCCGUAUUUCCUGAUAACCCCCUGCAGAAAUAGACAAACACAAAAACUCGUGGAAUUCUGUCAGAUAAAACCCUAAGUCUAGAUGUUGAUUUCAUUUGGAUCCUUUUCUUUAUUUAUUUGAUAAUUAAAUUUGAUACUUAAGGACCGUCAACAGUACAUUAUUUCUUGAGAAAACUAAUAUCUAUGAGUGUGUUAGUGUGUGAAAAUGCAGUGGGAGUAAGAAGCUUCUUUAGAAAUGAUUCUAAGCUUAUAAAAACAAGUGGCUAACUUCACUGAGCAGCUGAAGGAAAAUGCUGAUAAAAUGGAAGGUAUAGAGUCAAUGAACACUGAUUUCCUUAUCAAGGAUAGGACCAUCAACGAGGAGUUGCAACACAUUCAGAAAGAGCUACUGGAUGUGAUUCUAAGCUUACAAAAAGCAACUGUCUAACCUCACUGAGCAGCUGAAGGAAAAUGCCGACAAAGUGGAAGGUAUAGAGUCAAUGAACACUGAUCUCUUUACCAAGGAAAGGAACAAUAACGAGGAGUUGCAACGCGUUCGGAAGGAGCUGCUGGAUGUAAACUACCAUGUUGAUUGACUAGCUAUUCUAUAUUAUGUUCUGUUGUGCUGGUCUCAAAUCAAUGAUGGAACUUAGGUCUCCUUUGCGUUAGCAUCAUAUCUAAUGCACAUUCUAUUUUUUGUUUGUUGCAUGCUUUUUAGAGGGAGGUUUUUGCGGUUGAUCACUAUACUAAUAUAUGUCUAAAGAAAAUGGGCGAAAUUGAUUCCAAAGCAUUCAGAGCACCUUGGAUGAAAAGGUUACCACAAGAGGCAGAUGAACUCAUUCCUAUUCUCGUUUGUUCAAAGUUGCAACAAGAAAUCCAAAACUCAGAAUGGUACCCAUUCAAGAAUCAAGUGGUGGAUGAGAAACUGUUGGUAAGGCCUUUGAUCACAUACAAUUGCUAUCUGAUUACCUAGUAGGUUUUUUAUUGAAAUCUGGUUGGUAUUUCUGACUCAGCAAAUUCUUCAAAAGGAUGAUAACAUGCUCCAAAAGCUGAAAGCAGAUCACGGUGAAGAGAUUUAUGGGUUGGUCAUAAAAGCCAUGUGUGAGAUCAUCAAGUACAAUGCUAGUGGCCGCUAUCCUGUAAACAGGCUAUGGAACUACAAGGAGGACCGCAAUGUAUCACCUGAUGAAGUCGUCCAGUACCUCAUGAAGAAGUGCAUUACUAAGAAAAAAAGCGUUGACCUGUCUUGUAUUGUUGCAUUGCCUUCUUUCAUUCACUUGUUUAAUUGGGUGGAUUAUUUUUUAUAUUUGUCUUGUGUUCUUGGGUGGUUGUGAUACGUCAUUGAAAACACGAAUGUUUUUGGGAAAACGCAAAUUUUUCUUCAGCUUAUCUAGACAUCAGUGGAGAACAUGUAAGUCCACUUCACCACUUCUGUUUAGGAUUGGAUAACGUGAAUUGGCAACUUGUGUCUGAGUGUGUGACUGCAUCUAUGACUCCACAUCACCACUUCUGAUAGGAUGACGUUGCAAACAGAAGUUUUGCAAAAGGAAGCAGGAGCUGCUGCCGAUCGGUGGCCGCUUCCAUGUCUUCAGCUUUUCAGGAUAUCAGUGCAAAACUUGUAACUCAACUUCACCACUCCUGUUUAGGAUUGGGUAACCUAAAUAGUGAAUGUGUACGUAUGACUCCACCUCACCACUUUGUGACAGGUUGAUGUUGUAAAUAGAAGCAGUGCAGACGUGACCCUAGCCCUAGAUUUACAGUUUAGUACUAUACAUAGCAUCAUUUCUGUGUUCUUAAUGCAAACUUGCAGUUGUUUCUUUUAACUUUUUUUCUCAACUAGGAUGUUGCAAGAGUCAGGAAAUUGACUUAAGAUCCAAGGAGCAAGAGAAGGAAAAGGUGUGAUGGUUUACUACUUCAUUGUAUUAUAAUCUUGUAUUAUUAUUUUUGUAAAUCUUGAAAUCUUGUGGUAUUACUUCUGUAGCUUCAUUGUAUAUUUGUGUUAUUACUAUUGCGUUGAAGAAAGAUUAUUGUAAAUAUCUUGUAUUACCACUUCAACAAUACAUAUUUUUUUCGGGCAGUACAUUAUUUCUUGAGAAACUAAUAUCUAUGAGUGUGUUAGUGUGUGAAAAUGUAGUGGGAGUAUGAAGCUUCUUUAGAAAUGAUUCUAAGUUUAUAAAAACAAGUGGCUAACUUCACUGAGCAGCUGAAGGAAAAUGCUGAUAAAAUGGAAGGUGUAGAGUCAAUGAACAUUGCUUUCCUUAUCAAGGAUAGGACCAUGGACGAGGAGUUGCAACACGUUCAGAAGGAGCUGCUGAAUGUGAUUCUAAGCUUACAAAAAACAACUGGCUAACCUCACUGAGCAGCUGAAGGAAAAUUCCAACAAAGUGGAAGGUAUAGAGUCAAUGCACACUGAUCUCUUUAUCAAGGAAAGGAACAACAGCGAGGAGUUGCAACGCAUUCGAAAGGAGCUGCUGGAUGUAAGCUACCAUGUUGAUUGACUAGCUAUUCAAUAUUAUGUUCUGUUUGCGUUAGCAUCAUAUCUGAUGCACAUUCUCUUUUUUGUUUGUUGCAUGCUUUUUAAAGGGAGGUUUUUGCGGUUGAUCACUAUACUAAUAUAUGUGUAAAGAAAAUGGGCAAAAUUGAUUCCAAAGCAUUCAGAGCACCUUGGAUGAAAAGGUUACAACCGGAGGCAGAUGAACUCAGUCCUACUCUCGUUUGUUCAAAGUUGCAACAAGAAAUCCAAAACUCAGAAUGGUACCCUUUCAAGAUUCAAGUGGUGGAUGAGAAACUGAUGGUAUGGCCUUUGAUCACAUACAAUUGCUAUCUGAUUACCUAGUAGGUUUUUCAUUGAAAUCUGGUUGGUAUUUCUGACUCAGCAAAUUCCUCAAAAGGAUGAUAACAUGUUCCAACAGUUGAAAGCAGAUCACGGUGAAGAGAUUUAUGGGUUGGUCAUAAAAGCCUUGUGUGAGAUCAUCAACUACAAUGUAAACGGGCUGUGGAACUACAAGGAGGACCGCAAUGUAUCACCGGAUAAAGUCAUCCACUACCUCAUGAAGAAGUGCAUUACUAAGAAGAAAAAGCGUUGACCUGUCUUGUAUUGUUGCUUUGCCUUAUUUCAUUCACUUGUUUAAUUGGGUGGAUUCUUGUUUAUAUUUGUCAUGUGUUCUUGGGUGGCUGUGUUACAUCAAUGAAAACACAAUUUUUUUUGGUGAAACACCAAUUUUUCUUCAGCUUAUCUGGACAUCAGUGGAGAACAUGAAAGUCCACUUCACCACUUUUGUUUAGGAUUGGAUAACCUAAAUUGGCAACUUGUGUCUGAGUGCAUGACUGCAUCUAUGACUCCACUUCACCACUUGUGAUAGGAUGAUGUUGCAAACGGAAGUAUUGCAAGAGGAUGCUGGAGCUGCUGCCAGUCGGUGGCCACAUCCAUGUCUUAACCUUAUCAGGAUAUCUGUGCCAAACAUGUAAGUCCACUUCACCACUUCUGUUUAGGAUUGGGUAACCUGAAUAGUGAAUGUGUACAUGACCGCAUGUAUGACUCCGCUUCACCACUUUGUGAUAGGAUGAUGUUGUAAACGGAAGCGGUGCAGACAUGACCCUAGCUCAGGAUGUACAGUUUAGUACUCUACAUAGCCUCAUUUCUGUGCUCAUAAUGUAAACUUACAGUUGUUUCUUUUAACUUUUUUUCUCAACCAGGAAGUUGCAAGUGUCAGGAAAUUGACUUAAGAUCCAAGGAGUAAGAGAAGGAAAAGGUGUGAUGGUUUAUUGCUUCAUUGUACUAUAAUCUUGUAUUAUUACUUUUGUAAAUCUUGAAAUCUUGUGGUAUUAAUUUUGUAGCUCCAUUGUAUAUUUGUGUUAUUACUAUUGCGUUGAAAGAAGAUUUUUGUAAAUGUCUUGUACUACCGCUUCAACAAUACAUAUUUAUUUUUGGGGCAGUACAUUAUUUCUUGAGAAUGUGUUAUUGUGUGAAAAUGCAGUGGGAGAAAGAAGCUGCUUUAGAAAUGAUUCUAAGCUUGCAAAAACAAGUGGCUAACCUCACUGAGUAGCUAAAGGAAAAUGCCGAUAAAAUGGAAGGUAUAGAGUCAAUGAACAUUGAUCUCCUUAUCAAGGAUAGGACCAUCAACGAGGAGUUGCAACGCGUUCAGAAGGAGCUGCUGGAUGUGAUUCUAAGCUUACAAAAACAAGUGGCUAACCUCACUGAGCAGCUGAAGGAAAAUGCCAAUAAAAUUGAAGGUAUAGAGUCAAUGAACACUGAUCUCUUUAUCAAGGAAAGGAACAACAAUGAGGAGUUGCAAUGUGUUCAAAAGGAGCUGUUGGAUGUAAGCUACCACAUUGAUUGACUAGCUAUUCGAUAUUAUGUUCUAUUGUGCUAGUCUAAAAUCAAUGAUGGAACCUAGGUCUCCUUUGCUUUGGCAUCAUAUCUCAUGCACAUUCUCUUUCUGGUUUGUUGCAUGCUUUGUAGGGGAAGGUUUUUGCGGUUGAUCGCCAUACUAAUAUACAUGUAAAGAAAAUGAGCAAGAUUGAUUGCAAAGCAUUCAGAGCAGCUUGGAUAAAAAGGUUUACCACAGGAGGCAGACCAACUCAGUCCUACUCUCGUUUGUUCAAAGUUGCAACAAGAAAUCCAAAACUCACAAUGGUACCGUUUCAAGAUUCAAUUGGUGGAUGAGAAACCGAUGGUAUGGCCUUUGAUCACAUAUAUACAAUUGCUAUGUGAUCACUGUAACACCUUAAAAAUUUAAAUUCAAUUGAAUUAGGUUAACCUAAAUUACUUAUGCAUUUUUUUGGGCAUCACACAACUAGGUAAUAUUUUUGUUCAAUCAAAAUACAUCAUAAGGUUUAUUUUUUUUUGGUGUUGCAUACAUGUUGGUGCAUAUUUAUUUUUUUAUAUGCUUGCGGUUAUGUUUUAUCUCAUAUGUUUUGUUAGCUAUUAUUUUAUUUUAGCUUAAGCUUGUCUUGAGUUGGUAAUUAGUAGUGAUACUGUCUACAUGCCUUCAAUAAAAAAAAUGAUAGCUGUAGUUCAGUUUCAGCUGCAUUUAUAUUUGAAAACAGUUAGCAAAAGAGAAGAGAGAAAACAGUAAAGAAUAGAGAAGAUAACAUGAAACAGAAAAGAAAAUAAAAGGAGAAAGGAAAAGAAAAUAAAGAAAACCCUCCCCUGCCUGAGUUGGCCGAGAGGCCCAUUUUCUUCCUCCUCUCUUCUUCUGGCGCAGUAGCCAGUAGCAGCGGCGGCAAGUGGCCCAGCAAAUCACCAAAGGCCAGCCCGGGAGGAAACAGGCGCAUGCUUCCUUCCUCCCUGGUCUUCACACGCUAAUGCUUGGACCCCACCGAGCAGUGUCUUCCCGUUCCUUCCUCCCCUGCUCGAGUAUGAACCGGACUCAAGGUAUGACCCGAGUCGGAUGCAAGCACCGCGCUCAGAUCGAUCUCACGACUCGAUCCCAACGCCAUGACUGAACCCUAUAAAGUCCCUUGCCCUAUGCGCC